GCCGGGGUGGCGCAAUCUGGUACCGCGCAAGCCUGGAAAGCUUGUUUCCUUCGGGAUACCUUAUGGCUGGAAAAGGCCAGAGGCCCGUAAUCUGGGUUCAAAUCCCAGCCCCGGCG
Molecule: transfer RNA, 116 nt
Filed under: Candidatus Woesearchaeota archaeon
Lineage: Archaea; Nanobdellati; Candidatus Woesearchaeota
Description: tRNA-Ser
Rfam family: tRNA
About the family: Transfer RNA (tRNA) molecules are approximately 80 nucleotides in length. Their secondary structure includes four short double-helical elements and three loops (D, anti-codon, and T loops).
Source: RNAcentral